Molecule: long non-coding RNA, 734 nt
Organism: Triticum dicoccoides
Lineage: Eukaryota; Viridiplantae; Streptophyta; Magnoliopsida; Poales; Poaceae
Exons: 3
Source: RefSeq, a predicted model, not a curated record
GGCGUCCGGAGGAGCAUCCGGGUUGAAGGUUCUGGCCCUCACCAUCGAGACUACCAUGGUCGUCGCCAAGUACAUCUGGAAUGAGAAGGUGGAGUUGCGACAGGAAGGAGGAAUGAAUUUCUAAUGGAUCUACUGUCUCCCUUGAGUUGGGGCGAACGUAGUGAAGCACCACGCUGUGUUUAUUGAUCUGGAAUCCAAGAGGAUCACCCGCCCUUGGUUGUUCCCUUCGUUUGUCAACUAGGUGACUUUUCAUGUGAUUUCUGCUUCCAAAAAUUAGAAAAUACCUUCAGAUCAAACCAGCAGAUUUGUAGAUUUCUGGGAAUUGCUGCUACUCCAUCUCCAUCUAGCCAAUGGUCUUUGGUUACUGAUUCUGAGGUACGACGUUGUUUUUUGUUAUAUCCCAUUUAGCUUGGCACCUCCAUUUAUUGGUUCGGGCCGAGCAAAGACCCUGUUGAGCAGUAUCACUGACUGGAAGCAUAAAUUUUUAGAUCAGUGAUAAGAUAAAUCCUGUGUACCGGUGCUUAGUAGCUAGCGAAAUGCGGCUGGUAUUUUUGGUCUGUAUGUAGGUAGCUUCCUGAUGUGUGUGGCUGUGUGUUCAUUCACACAGACCUGAACUUAUUUAUGUUUUUCGUUGGCUUCAUUUUAGUAAAGAUGGGGUGGGGAAAAACUACACCCUAUAUAUGUAAGUUGACUGAAAAUAAUAAUAUGUUUCAGUAGCUAUAUUUCUUCGGUUC